GCUGAGCACUUGACAAACCUCCUCUCCCCAGGUGAUGGCAGCAAUCUGUGAAGCCAGUCACACUAAACUACUUCUACAGUUGAUUGUAAACUUUGGUUUAUUUUUAUUUUCUUUUUAUUGAGUUCUCAUGGUACAGCAAGCAUGUCUAGGAUGAGAGGGCAGAGUUGAAGAGGAGAUGUACUGUCAGUCUGUCUUUAGUCUGGCAUGGUGAGACACCUGCUCGGUCAGGCCUGCUUUGAUAGAGUUUCUAACAGACUGCCUCAUAUGAUCCUCCACCAAAUUAUCACUCAUGGGCUUCAACACCUGUUCCCAUAUAGCUUCAGCGAUCUGAUCGAUGGCUGUUCCAACUUCUCUGAAUUCCCCAGAGUACUUAACGUAUGCCCAAGUACAAAAGGAUAUAAGAGCCAUCCCCAGCACGAGAUUACACAGGGUAGCUAUGGAGUUCAUACCAAGGAACCCAGUCAGUCCUGAGAUUAUAUACAUGGCAAACAUGACUGCAAAUAGAGUGGCAGGGGUACGAGCAGCGUAAAAUAUGUUUUUGCCAUCAUUGUGCUUCACAAAGUUUGCAUAGAUCUCGUCGAUUUCUGCCUCAAGCUGUUCCUGGUAGCGCCGACAGAACUCCUCCCCUCCCAUCUUCUUCACAGAGCAGAACUGCUUGACAGCUGACUCUUUGAAAUCCUGGUGCUUUCGCUCAAGGUCCGAUGGGGCAAUAUAAGGCUUAUCUCCUCCACAAAUCUGCUCCAUGCCUUUACUGUACAAGUCUUUUGCUCCUGCCACAGCAGCAAGAUUGUUUGCCUCAGCUGUUGCCUGCAGCAUAGACUUUGGAUGAGGUAGC
Molecule: long non-coding RNA, 835 nt
Filed under: Gallus gallus (chicken)
Lineage: Eukaryota; Metazoa; Chordata; Aves; Galliformes; Phasianidae
Source: RNAcentral